AUUGCGAGCCGAACCCGGGAGCGGGCGCCAUGGUGCUGUUGCACGUGCUGUUUGAGCAUGCUGUCGGCUACGCGCUGCUGGCGCUGAAGGAAGUGGAGGAGAUCAGUCUGCUGCAGCCGCAGGUGGAGGAGUCCGUGCUCAACCUGGGCAAAUUCCACAACAUCGUUCGUCUGGUGGCCUUUUGUCCCUUUGCGUCAUCCCAGGUUGCCUUGGAAAAUGCCAACGCCGUGUCUGAAGACCUGAAUGCAAUUGUUCCCAUGGCUGGGCCAGGCUUUGCAGUGAUGACUUGCGAAUCAAAUCUGUCAAUCCGCUGAGUGCAGUCACUGAUGUCUCCAUGUCUCUGAGCAAUGCCUGAUGGGGAGGGAUCUAGGGGUUGUUCAUGAGGACCUCCGCCUGCUCUUGGAGACGCACCUGCCGUCCAAAAAGAAGAAAGUACUCUUGGGAGUUGGGGAUCCCAAGAUUGGUGCCGCGAUACAGGAGGAGUUAGGGUACAACUGCCAGACUGGAGGCGUCAUAGCUGAGAUCCUGCGAGGAGUUCGUCUGCACUUCCACAAUCUGGUGAAGGGUCUGACCGAUCUGUCAGCUUGUAAAGCACAGCUGGGGCUGGGACACAGCUAUUCCCGUGCCAAAGUUAAGUUUAAUGUGAACCGUGUGGACAAUAUGAUCAUCCAGUCCAUUAGCCUCCUGGACCAGCUGGAUAAGGACAUCAAUACCUUCUCUAUGCGUGUCAGGGAGUGGUACGGGUAUCACUUUCCGGAGCUGGUGAAGAUCAUCAACGACAAUGCCACAUACUGCCGUCUCGCCCAGUUUAUUGGAAACCGAAGGGAACUGAAUGAGGACAAGCUGGAGAAGCUGGAGGAGCUAACAAUGGAUGGGGCCAAGGCUAAGGCUAUUCUGGAUGCCUCACGGUCCUCCAUGG
This 919-nucleotide small RNA is filed under the name Pongo abelii (Sumatran orangutan). RNAcentral's name for it is "processed transcript". The stretch from base 274 to 348 matches the Rfam family "Small nucleolar RNA SNORD110". Lineage: Eukaryota; Metazoa; Chordata; Mammalia; Primates; Hominidae. The record is from RNAcentral.